RNAcentral lists this transfer RNA (69 nucleotides) under Sambus femoralis. Its description in RNAcentral is "tRNA-Val". The record is from RNAcentral. Lineage: Eukaryota; Metazoa; Arthropoda; Insecta; Coleoptera; Buprestidae.
CAAAUUAGAGCUUGAGAGGAAGUUUUUUGUUUACAUUAAAAAGUUGUCGUGCAAUUCGAUAUAAUUUGA